Molecule: ribosomal RNA, 252 nt
Filed under: uncultured bacterium
Lineage: Bacteria
Also listed under: 1 other name
Description: partial 16S ribosomal RNA
Rfam family: Bacterial small subunit ribosomal RNA
Source: RNAcentral
UACGUAGGGGGCAAGCGUUGUCCGGAAUUAUUGGGCGUAAAGCGCGCGCAGGCGGUCGAUGAAGUCUGAUGUUUAAUGCCGGGGCUCAACCCCGGUGCGCAUUGGAAACUGGUCGACUUGAGUGUAGGAGAGGAAAGUGGAAUUCCACGUGUAGCGGUGAAAUGCGUAGAUAUGUGGAGGAACACCAGUGGCGAAGGCGACUUUCUGGCCUAUAACUGACGCUGAGGCGCGAAAGCGUGGGGAGCAAACAGG